UACGGGGGUGGCAAGCGUUGUUCGGAAUUACUGGGCGUAAAGGGCGCGUGGGCGGGGAGGUAAGUCGGGUGUGAAAUCCCUCGGCUCAACCGAGGAACUGCGCCCGAGACUGCCUUUCUUGAGUCCCGGAGAGGAAGGUGGAAUUCCCGGUGUAGCGGUGAAAUGUGUAGAGAUCGGGAGGAACACCGGUGGCGAAGGCGGCCUUCUGGACCAACACUGACACUGAGGAGCGAAAGCCAGGGGAGCAAACGGG
This 253-nucleotide ribosomal RNA is filed under the name uncultured bacterium. RNAcentral describes it as "partial 16S ribosomal RNA". It matches the Rfam family "Bacterial small subunit ribosomal RNA", at positions 524 to 776 of the family's 1533-position model. The record is from RNAcentral.